RNAcentral lists this long non-coding RNA (1176 nucleotides) under Ornithorhynchus anatinus (platypus). RNAcentral describes it as "lncRNA (ENSOANG00000047763.1)". The record is from RNAcentral. Lineage: Eukaryota; Metazoa; Chordata; Mammalia; Monotremata; Ornithorhynchidae.
CUUCUUCUCUCCGCAUCUCUGUGCGUCUCCGCAACUCCGCCUCCCGUCCGUCAGACCCUUGCCCGUCUCGCCGCGCUUCUGCCUCUGUCCCUGCCUUUUUCUCUCCGUUCGGCUCCGCGUGUCUGCACCUCCCCGCCACUCUCUGCCUCCUCCUGGCUCCGCGUCCCCGCGCGAGUCUCCGUGUCUCUCGGCCUCCCUUUGCCCCUUCGUGCUCUGCUCUGUCCGUCUAGCUUUCUCCCACGCGGGCGGGUGUCAGAGUGGGGACGGGUCAUCCUUCCUUGGGUGGGGACUGGGGUCAGUCUCCGCCACGUUCCCAGCCGACCGUUCCCCCCGCCGCCUGGCAAGGGCCUACAGGGCCGCCCCAUCAAUCGAUCGAUCAAUCGAUGGCAGGACACUAGGUCACGGAUAAUAAUAGGAUGUCCUCCGGCCACCUCAAACUCAACCUGCCCAAGACUGAGCUCCUCCCCUUCCCUCCCAAACCCUGUCCUCUCCCCGACUUCCCCGUCACUGUGGACGGCACGGACGUCCUUCCCGUCUCACGGGCCCGCAACCUCGGUGUCGUCCUUGACUCCGCUCUCUCAUUCGCCCCACACAACCGGUCCGUCACCGACACCUGCCGGGCUCGCCUUCUCAACAUUGCCAAGACCCGUCCCGUCCUCCCCAUCCAAACUGGGGAGGGAGGGAGAGAGAGAGACAGAGAGAGACAGAGAGAGAGAGACACACGAGAGAGAGACAGAGAGACAGAGAAAAACAAGAGAGUCACAGAGAGAGAGAAACAAGAGACAGAGAGAAACGAGAGAGACAGAGAGAGAAACGAGAGACAGGGAAAAACAAGAGAGAGACAAAGACAGAGAGACACUGGGAGAGAGACAGAGAGAGGGGACAGAGAGAGAGACAGAGAGAAACGAGAGAGAGAGACAGAGUGAAAUGAGAGAGAUAAUGAGAGAGACAGAAACAAGAGAGAGACAGAAUGAGAGAGAGAAAAACGAGAGAGACAGAGACAGAGAGAGACACAGGGAGAGGGACAGAGAGAGAGACAGAGAGAAACAAGAGAGCAAGAGAAUGAGAGAGACAGAGAAACAGGAGACAGAGAGAGAGACAGAGAGAGGGACAGAGAGAGACAGAGAGAAACAUGAGAGGGACAGAGAGAAACAAGAGAGAGACAGACAGAAAUGA